GACGAACGCUGGCGGCGUGCUUAACACAUGCAAGUCGAACGGAAAGGCCCUGCUUUUGUGGGGUGCUCGAGUGGCGAACGGGUGAGUAACACGUGAGUAACCUGCCCUUGACUUUGGGAUAACUUCAGGAAACUGGGGCUAAUACCGGAUAGGAGCUCCUGCUGCAUGGUGGGGGUUGGAAAGUUUCGGCGGUUGGGGAUGGACUCGCGGCUUAUCAGCUUGUUGGUGGGGUAGUGGCUUACCAAGGCUUUGACGGGUAGCCGGCCUGAGAGGGUGACCGGCCACAUUGGGACUGAGAUACGGCCCAGACUCCUACGGGAGGCAGCAGUGGGGAAUAUUGCACAAUGGGCGGAAGCCUGAUGCAGCAACGCCGCGUGCGGGAUGACGGCCUUCGGGUUGUAAACCUCUUUCGCCUGUGACGAAGCGUGAGUGACGGUAAUGGGUAAAGAAGCACCGGCUAACUACGU
This 467-nucleotide ribosomal RNA is filed under the name uncultured bacterium. RNAcentral's name for it is "partial 16S ribosomal RNA". It matches the Rfam family "Bacterial small subunit ribosomal RNA", at positions 28 to 506 of the family's 1533-position model. The record is from RNAcentral.